Molecule: long non-coding RNA, 603 nt
Organism: Magnolia sinica
Lineage: Eukaryota; Viridiplantae; Streptophyta; Magnoliopsida; Magnoliales; Magnoliaceae
Exons: 3
Source: RefSeq, a predicted model, not a curated record
CCGUACCUAGUUCCGUCCGAUGAGUGUAAUCCCCAAUCCGCACCCAAAAGGAGCCCGCGAAUUUUUUAUUUUUAUUUUUUUCAUUCUCGCGGGCUGUAAGCUUUCUCUAUUCCUCUCCCUCCCUCCCUCUCUCCCUCUCUCUCUCCAUCUCAUGCUAAUAGUAGUCUGGACAGGAGGAGGUGCUUUCUCCAUGCGGUGAAGAAAGAAUCGAAUGCUAACAACAAUCUGCAGAAGCUUAACUAGCAACUCCAAUCCCUCUCUCAGAAUCCUUAAUUAUUCCUUAUUCAUAAAUUGUGGAGGCAGUACAAUGAUUGUUGGGAAGAAAGAAUAUGAAGGUGACUCAUCAGAAAUGAGAUCGUUAGACAGUCUCUUCUACUGACAGAUGGGCUUAUAGUAGCACAGGGGAAAAGCUCUACUAUGUUGUUAUCUGGUCUUCAGGGUCUUGGUACCUUUAAUGAUCAAGCAACCUGAAUGAAGAUCUUCCAAUGAUUAUCAAUCUUUAUAUGUAUCUCAACCACUAGAAUAUAAUUUCUUGGGACCCUGCGAUGGCUACUUGAGAAUAGGACUUCAGAAUUUAUGCAUCAACAUGCACCACUAUGGCUU